GACGAACGCUGGCGGCGUGCCUAAUACAUGCAAGUAGAACGCUGAAGGAGGAGCUUGCUCUUCUGGAUGAGUUGCGAACGGGUGAGUAACGCGUGGGUAACCUGCCUGGUAGCGGGGGAUAACUAUUGGAAACGAUAGCUAAUACCGCAUAACAGUAGAUGUUGCAUGACAUUUACUUAAAAGGUGCAAUUGCAUCACUACCAGAUGGACCUGCGUUGUAUUAGCUAGUUGGUGGGGUAACGGCUCACCAAGGCGACGAUACAUAGCCGACCUGAGAGGGUGAUCGGCCACACUGGGACUGAGACACGGCCCAGACUCCUACGGGAGGCAGCAGUAGGGAAUCUUCGGCAAUGGACGGAAGUCUGACCGAGCAACGCCGCGUGAGUGAAGAAGGUUUUCGGAUCGUAAAGCUCUGUUGUAAGAGAAGAACGAGUGUGAGAGUGGAAAGUUCACACUGUGACGGUAUCUUACCAGAAAGGGACGGCUAACUACGUG
RNAcentral lists this ribosomal RNA (495 nucleotides) under uncultured bacterium. Its description in RNAcentral is "partial 16S ribosomal RNA". It matches the Rfam family "Bacterial small subunit ribosomal RNA", at positions 28 to 507 of the family's 1533-position model. The record is from RNAcentral.